UACGUAGGGUGCAAGCGUUGUCCGGAAUCACUGGGCGUAAAGGGCGCGUAGGCGGCUCAUGAAGGCUGUGGUGAAAGUCCGGGGCUCAACCUCGGAUCGGCCGUGGCGACUCGUGGGCUGGAGCACUGUAGAGGCGGGUGGAAUUCCGGGUGUAGCGGUGGAAUGCGCAGAUAUCAGGAGGAACACCGAUGGCGAAGGCAGAUCUCUGGGCCGUAACUGACGCUGAGGAGCGAAAGCGUGGGGAGCGAACAGG
This 253-nucleotide ribosomal RNA is filed under the name uncultured bacterium. RNAcentral's name for it is "partial 16S ribosomal RNA". It matches the Rfam family "Bacterial small subunit ribosomal RNA", at positions 524 to 776 of the family's 1533-position model. The record is from RNAcentral.